UGGGGAAUUUUGGACAAUGGGCGAAAGCCUGAUCCAGCAAUGCCGCGUGUGUGUAGAAGGCCUUCGGGUUGUAAAGCACUUUUGUCCGGAAAGAAAUCCUUGGCUCUAAUACAGUCGGGGGAUGACGGUACCGGAAGAAUAAGCACCGGCUAACUACGUGCCAGCAGCCGCGGUAAUACGUAGGGUGCAAGCGUUAAUCGGAAUUACUGGGCGUAAAGCGUGCGCAGGCGGUUUGCUAAGACCGAUGUGAAAUCCCCGGGCUCAACCUGGGGAACUGCAUUGGUGACUGGCAGGCUAGAGUAUGGCAGAGGGGGGUAGAAUUCCACGUGUAGCAGUGAAAUGCGUAGAGAUGUGGAGGAAUACCGAUGGCGAAGGCAGCCCCCUGGGCCAAUACUGACGCUCAUGCACGAAAGCGUGGGGAGCAAACAGGAUUAGAUACCCUGGUAGUCCACGCCCUAAACGAUGUCAACUAGUUGUUGGGGAUUCAUUUCCUUAGUAACGUAGCUAACGCGUGAAGUUGACCGCC
Molecule: ribosomal RNA, 526 nt
Filed under: uncultured bacterium
Lineage: Bacteria
Description: partial 16S ribosomal RNA
Rfam family: Bacterial small subunit ribosomal RNA
Source: RNAcentral